This 520-nucleotide ribosomal RNA is filed under the name uncultured Glomus. RNAcentral describes it as "SSU rRNA". It matches the Rfam family "Eukaryotic small subunit ribosomal RNA", at positions 569 to 1089 of the family's 1831-position model. The record is from RNAcentral. Lineage: Eukaryota; Fungi; Glomeromycota; Glomeromycetes; Glomerales; Glomeraceae.
AGCAGCCGCGGUAAUUCCAGCUCCAAUAGCGUAUAUUAAAGUUGUUGCAGUUAAAAAGCUCGUAGUUGAAUUUCGGGGUUAGUAGGUUGGUCAUGCCUCUGGUAUGUACUGGUCUCACUGAUUCCUCCUUCCUUAUGAACCGUAAUGCCAUUAAUUUGGUGUUGCGGGAAAUUUGGACUGUUACUUUGAAAAAAUUUAGAGUGUUUAAAGCAAGCUAACGCUUGAAUACAUUAGCAUGGAAUAAUGAAAUAGGACGUUCGAUCUUAUUUUGUUGGUUUCUAGGAUUGACGUAAUGAUUAAUAGGGAUAGUUGGGGGCAUUAGUAUUCAAUUGUCAGAGGUGAAAUUCCUGGAUUUAUUGAAGACUAACUACUGCGAAAGCAUUUGCCAAGGAUGUUUUCAUUAAUCAAGAACGAAAGUUAGGGGAUCGAAGACGAUCAGAUACCGUCGUAGUCUUAACCAUAAACUAUGCCGACUAGGGAUCGGAUGAUGUUAAUUUUUUAAUGACUCAUUCGGCGCCUU